RNAcentral lists this signal recognition particle RNA (298 nucleotides) under Saimiri boliviensis boliviensis (Bolivian squirrel monkey). Its description in RNAcentral is "Metazoan signal recognition particle RNA (ENSSBOG00000008249.1)". It matches the Rfam family "Metazoan signal recognition particle RNA". From Rfam's summary of the family: The signal recognition particle (SRP) is a universally conserved ribonucleoprotein. It is involved in the co-translational targeting of proteins to membranes. Lineage: Eukaryota; Metazoa; Chordata; Mammalia; Primates; Cebidae. The record is from RNAcentral.
GCCGGGUGCACUGAUGCGUGCCUGUGGUCCCAGCUACCCGGGAGGCUGAGGAUGGAGGAUCACUUGAGUCCAGGAGUUCUGGGCUGUAGUGCCCUAUGCCAGUCGGGUGUCUGCACUAGGUUCGGCAUCACUAUGGUGACCUCCUGGGAACGGGGGACCACCAGGUUAUCUAUGGAGGGGUGAACCGGCCCAGGUUGGAAACGAGGAAGUCAAAACUCUCAUGCUGAUCAGUAAUGGGAUCGCGCCUGUGAAUAGCCACUGCAUUCCAGCCUGGGCAACAUAGCGAGACCCUGUCUCU